CAGCCGCCGCGGGAAUACGUAGGUGGCAAGCGUUGUCCGGAAUUAUUGGGCGUAAAGGGCUCGCAGGCGGUUUCUUAAGUCUGAUGUGAGAGCCCCCGGCUCAACCGGGGAGGGUCAUUGGAAACUGGGAAACUUGAGUGCAGAAGAGGAGAGCGGAAUUCCACGCGUAGCGGUGAAAUGCGUAGAGAUGUGGAGGGACACCAGUGGCGAAGGCGACUCUCUGGUCUGUAACUGACGCUGAGGAGCGAAAGCGUGGGGAGCGAACAGGAUUAGAUACCCCCGUAGUCCCUGUCUCUUAUAC
This 301-nucleotide ribosomal RNA is filed under the name uncultured bacterium. Its description in RNAcentral is "partial 16S ribosomal RNA". It matches the Rfam family "Bacterial small subunit ribosomal RNA", at positions 509 to 807 of the family's 1533-position model. The record is from RNAcentral.